AGAGUUUGAUCCUGGCUCAGGACGAACGCUGGCGGCACGCUUAACACAUGCAAGUCGAACGAGAGAAGAGGAGCUUGCUUUUCUGAUCUAGUGGCGGACGGGUGAGUAACACGUGAGCAAUCUGCCUUUCAGAGGGGGAUACCGAUUGGAAACGAUCGUUAAUACCGCAUAACAUAAUUGAACCGCAUGAUUUGAUUAUCAAAGAUUUAUCGCUGAAAGAUGAGCUCGCGUCUGAUUAGCUAGUUGGUAAGGUAACGGCUUACCAAGGCGACGAUCAGUAGCCGGACUGAGAGGUUGAUCGGCCACAUUGGGACUGAGACACGGCCCAGACUCCUACGGGAGGCAGCAGUGGGGAAUAUUGCACAAUGGAGGAAACUCUGAUGCAGCGAUGCCGCGUGAGGGAAGAAGGUUUUAGGAUUGUAAACCUCUGUCUUCAGGGACGAAAAAAGACGGUACCUGAGGAGGAAGCUCCGGCUAACUACGUGCCAGCAGCCGCGGUAAUACGUAGGGAGCGAGCGUUGUCCGGAAUUACUGGGUGUAAAGGGAGCGUAGGCGGGAUCGCAAGUCAGAUGUGAAAACUAUGGGCUUAACCCAUAAACUGCAUUUGAAACUGUGGUUCUUGAGUGAAGUAGAGGUAAGCGGAAUUCCUAGUGUAGCGGUGAAAUGCGUAGAUAUUAGGAGGAACAUCAGUGGCGAAGGCGGCUUACUGGGCUUUAACUGACGCUGAGGCUCGAAAGCGUGGGGAGCAAACAGGAUUAGAUACCCUGGUAGUCCACGCCGUAAACGAUGAUUACUAGGUGUGGGGGGACUGACCCCUUCCGUGCCGCAGCAAACGCAAUAAGUAAUCCACCUGGGGAGUACGACCGCAAGGUUGAAACUCAAAGGAAUUGACGGGGGCCCGCACAAGCAGUGGAGUAUGUGGAUUAAUUCGAAGCAACGCGAAGAACCUUACCAGGUCUUGACAUCGUAUGCAUAGCUCAGAGAUGAGUGAAAUCUCUUCGGAGACAUAUAGACAGGUAGUGCAUGGUUGUCGUCAGCUCGUGUCGUGAGAUGUUGGGUUAAGUCCCGCAACGAGCGCAACCCUUACUGUUAGUUGCUACGCAAGAGCACUCUAGCAGGACUGCCGUUGACAAAACGGAGGAAGGUGGGGAUGACGUCAAAUCAUCAUGCCCCUUAUGACCUGGGCCUCACACGUACUACAAUGGCUGUCAACAGAGGGGAGCAAAGCCGCGAGGUGGAGCGAACCCCUAAAAGCAGUCUUAGUUCGGAUUGUAGGCUGCAACCCGCCUACAUGAAGUCGGAAUUGCUAGUAAUCGCAGAUCAGCAUGCUGCGGUGAAUACGUUCCCGGGCCUUGUACACACCGCCCGUCACGCCAUGGGAGUCGGUAACACCCGAAGCCUGUAGUCUAACCGCAAGGAGGACGCAGUCGAAGGUGGGAUUGAUGACUGGGGUGAAGUAGUAACAAGGUA
Molecule: ribosomal RNA, 1470 nt
Filed under: metagenome
Description: bacterial SSU rRNA
Rfam family: Bacterial small subunit ribosomal RNA
Source: RNAcentral